Non-coding RNA from Danio rerio (zebrafish), 73 nucleotides. Lineage: Eukaryota; Metazoa; Chordata; Actinopteri; Cypriniformes; Danionidae. The record is from Rfam.
GCCCCAGUGGCAUAAUGGAUAAGGCACUGGCCUCCUAAGCCAGAGGUUGUGGGUUCGAGUCCCAUCUUGGGUG